Molecule: microRNA precursor, 107 nt
Filed under: Jatropha curcas
Lineage: Eukaryota; Viridiplantae; Streptophyta; Magnoliopsida; Malpighiales; Euphorbiaceae
Source: RNAcentral
AGAGUGUAAUUCAGCCAAGGAUGACUUGCCGGCCUGGCCUUGCCUGCAGCUAUCUACAACACCCGCCAACGCCGGCAAGUUGUUUCUUUGGCUACAUUGUACUCUUU